This is a long non-coding RNA of Drosophila willistoni, 674 nucleotides long. RefSeq lists it as uncharacterized. NCBI's taxonomy places the organism in Eukaryota, Metazoa, Arthropoda, Insecta, Diptera, Drosophilidae. The record is from RefSeq and is a predicted model, not a curated record. The transcript has 3 exons.
AACAAAGUUUUGGAAAAUAUGGAAAAAAUCACAAAAUCCUUGAUAUCUCGGCUCUCCGCAGGAUUACAGAGAUGUCCUUUGCACCGAAGAUAGUCCCUGCUGAUCAACGUUUUAUGACAUCACUUUCGUCCUGAUCCUUCAAAGGACUUUCGAGAUACUUGACAUUUUGUGUCAAGCAGAAAAGUUCUUUUAUCUCAGCUUCCUGAAGGACAUUCCGGGAUCUGUUAGUGUCAGACAAUGCGGGUCGUCAAGGACUACCAUCUAACCAAAGGACAUUUUGGUGGUCCUUAAUUUGGCUGAGUUAUAAGGACAUUUGUGCUUUUUUGGCGACUUUUCGGUCAUUUUUCUGACUCUACCCCUUACACAAAUUCGAACGAUAUUUUUGGCAGGAUAUUGAAAAUCCUUGAAUGCCGAUCGAUAGUCCUGAUUCUGGAGGAGCAAAAAAGGUGUGUCCUGUCGAAAUCGCUCUAAAAUCCACGAAUCCUGCCGCAGGACGAAAGGACAUGGUUCUCUAGGAUGUCCUUGAUGAUCUCUAUAGAUUGGCAUCAAAAAAAGUUUGAAGGACAUUCCAGGACCUCAUAACAUCAGUGGAUGCGAAUGAAGAAGGUCUUCCAUCUGGCCAAAGGACAUCACGAUCAGGCUUAAAAUAGCCGAGAUAUGAGCAGAUUUGCGGU